CCUCCGUUCUUCCGCCGUUCUUACUAUUCUUCCCUUCUCUCGCUCCUGCCCCCGCCCCGUCGCGUGAAGGAUGAAGGAUCUAUGGUUUGUAAACUUCUUUUAUAUGGGAAUAAAGUGAGGAACGUGUUCCUUUUUGUAUGUACCAUAUGAAUAAGCAUCGGCUAACUCCGUGCCAGCAGCCGCGGUAAUACGGAGGAUGCGAGCGUUAACCGGGUUUAUUGGGUUGAAAGGGUGAGUAGGUGGUUAAUUAAGUCAGCGGUGAAAGUUUGUGGCUCAACCAUAAAAUUGCCGUUGAAACUGGUUGACUUGAGUAUAUUUGAGGUAGGCGGAAUGUGUGGUGUAGCGGUGAAAUGCAUAGAUAUCACGCAGAACUCCGAUUGCGAAGGCAGCUUACUAAACUAUAACUGACACUGAAGCACGAAAGCGUGGGGAUCAAACAGGAUUAGAUACCCCUGUAGUC
This 460-nucleotide ribosomal RNA is filed under the name uncultured bacterium. RNAcentral's name for it is "partial 16S ribosomal RNA". It matches the Rfam family "Bacterial small subunit ribosomal RNA", at positions 47 to 795 of the family's 1533-position model. The record is from RNAcentral.